This 196-nucleotide ribosomal RNA is filed under the name uncultured bacterium. RNAcentral's name for it is "partial 16S ribosomal RNA". It matches the Rfam family "Bacterial small subunit ribosomal RNA", at positions 337 to 525 of the family's 1533-position model. The record is from RNAcentral.
UCCUACGGGAGGCAGCAGUGGGGAAUAUUGCACAAUGGGCGCAAGCCUGAUGCAGCCAUGCCGCGUGUGUGAAGAAGGCCUUCGGGUUGUAAAGCACUUUCAGCGGGGAGGAAGGGUCACUAGUUAAUACCUAGUGGCAUUGACGUUACUCGCAGAAGAAGCACCGGCUAACUCCGUGCCAGCAGCCGCGGUAAUA